UCCCAUGUGGCUCAGCAGGUUAAGGAUCCGGCAUUGUCACUGCAGUGGCUCAGGUUCAAUCCCUGGCCUGGGAA
Molecule: transfer RNA, 74 nt
Filed under: Sus scrofa (pig)
Lineage: Eukaryota; Metazoa; Chordata; Mammalia; Artiodactyla; Suidae
Rfam family: tRNA
About the family: Transfer RNA (tRNA) molecules are approximately 80 nucleotides in length. Their secondary structure includes four short double-helical elements and three loops (D, anti-codon, and T loops).
Source: Rfam by way of RNAcentral